UACGUAGGGGGCAAGCGUUGUCCGGAUUUAUUGGGCGUAAAGAGCGUGUAGGCGGCUAGAUAGGUCCGUUGUGAAAACUCGAGGCUCAACCUCGAGACGUCGAUGGAAACCAUCUGGCUAGAGUCCGGAAGAGGAGAGUGGAAUUCCUGGUGUAGCGGUGAAAUGCGCAGAUAUCUGGAGGAACACCGGUGGCGAAGGCGGCAUCCUGGACCGAGAUUGACGCUGAUGCGCGAAAGCCAGGGGAGCAAACGGG
This 253-nucleotide ribosomal RNA is filed under the name uncultured bacterium. Its description in RNAcentral is "partial 16S ribosomal RNA". It matches the Rfam family "Bacterial small subunit ribosomal RNA", at positions 524 to 776 of the family's 1533-position model. The record is from RNAcentral.